GUACAGUUAAAAGAAAAAUGAACCAACAGGACAAUCGGUGCAGGAGUGGGAGCAGCCCUUGAGAAACCAGAGAGUUUGUUUGCUGUUGCUUAGUUACACGUUUGCAGGAGGAGAUCGAGUGACAGAUAAGAAGAGAAGAGCGGAUGGCAACUUCCAGAGGCAUUACAACAAAAGGAUGAAACAAUUUGAAUUUACACCUUUGGAAAAAUCCACAAUUUCACACAGUUUUUAUUUAAAAUGACGUCUUAUUAAUGUUCCUGUUAUCUUUUGUUAUCAAAACUUAUACACAGUAAAUACUGACCUCUGUAUUUUUCCGCGACGUUAUUAGUAAGUGACAGACUUGGAUAAUUGGUGCCAAUAAGAUAAGUGAGAUAGCCAAUAACUCUUGGGAAAGCUAAAAGUUACAUCCCAUUCAAACCAUGACGUCUCAUUUCUUCCAGUAGGGGGCGCUGCCGUUUAAACAGGGUCGCUGUGACCCACGAGUUAAGUUUAAAGCGAGAAGCGCGGUGUCUCUUAUCAGACUUCUCUGCUUUUGUUUAGCUGUUCAUAGGAAAACCCCAGUAAUUGAGCGCUACAGCGAGUCAGUUUUUAGACCAAAGCUUAGCUCUAACAGUUUAGGGAAGUUUUAAAGAAACACUUUAAACAACAGAUAUGUGGAGACAGCAGGACUAAGCGAAGCAGCAGCAGGUGGCGACGGCUGUGGGACAGAUUCCUGGAGCAGAUAACAAAGACCACUGGCCUUUACAUUACAUGACGAUUUUGGACGACCCAAAACACGGGAGGCUGUUUUCAACUCUAAAGUUGUGUUGCACCGAUUAGAUGUUCGUCAGAUAAUGCGGGUCAAAAAAGGCGCUGCUGAAAACAACAGUUUCAGCAUUAACUUGAAGGACCCGAAGCCCAACCAUGUCAUGAAGAUACAUCAACACCAAAAAGAAAGGAACAAAUUUGGAGAGGAAGACUGUAGGGAAGAAGAAUCUAUCAGGAAUCAAAGUCAUGGAGAUGAUUCCAACAUGGGGACUGAAUUCACUGAUGAUGAUGUAAAGCAUCCUGACUCCAAAAACACACACAAGACAAUCCACAGAGGCCAGAAUUUUUUUUUUUUUGUGAGCAUUGUGGGAAAAGAUUUCGCCAAAAAGUAGGUUUGAACCAACACUUGAGAAUCGACACAGGACAGAAGCCUUUUUGUUGUGAUGUUUGUGAUCAAAUAUUUAGUGGGAAGGCAGCUUUACAAGUUCACUUGAGAACCCAUACAGGUGAGAAACCCUUUAGCUGUGAGCUAUGUGAAAAAUCAUUUAGCCAGAAAUCAAAUUUAAUAAAACACACGAGAAUCCACACAGGACAGAAACCAUACUUUUGUGAUGAUUGUGGGAAAAGCUUCAGGGUUAAGACAUCUUUAGACCAUCAUAAGAGAGUCCACUCAGAACAAGAACCUCUCUGUUGUGAUGUUUGUGGACAUAGAUGGAGUUAUAAAUCUGAUCUAGACCAACACAGGAGAGUCCACACAGGUGAAAAACCUUUCUCGUGUGAAAUUUGUGGGAAAAGUUUUAACCAAAGGACAACUUUAAAAACUCACCUCACAAUCCAUACUGGAGAGAGACCUUUCUCAUAUGAUCUUUGUGCACAAAGUUUUCAUCAAAAAGGUGCUUUAAAAGCUCACAGAAGAACCCACACUGGAGAAAAACCUUUCGUUUGUGAUCUUUGUGGACAAAGCUUUUGCCAAAAAGGAGGCUUAAAUGUCACACAAGAGAGCCCACACAGGUGAAAAAUUUUUUUCUUGUGACAUUUGUGGACAAAGAUUUACUCGGAGCGAAAAUUUAAACUCGCACAUUAGAGCCCAUAAGGGACAGAAACCCUUCAGUUGUGAUGUAUGUGGACAAAGGUUUCGUCACAAUUCUGUUUUAUAUCAACAUAAGAUGGGCCACACCGGGGAGAAACGUCACUCUUGUGGAAUGUGUGGGAAACAAUUUACACAGAGUGGAUCUCUAAGCAAACACAUUUUGAUACACACAGGACAUAAGAUUUUUAGAUAAUCUUUGUGGACAAAGCUUUAGAGAAAAAGUUCAUUCAAACAACCUCAUAAGAAUCCACACUGUUGACAAACCAUUCUGUUGUAAUCUUUGUGGACAAACAUUUCAUAAGAAAUCUGUUCUUAAAAUGCAAGAGUGUUCACACAGAAGAGAAACCUUUCUGCUGCAAUGUCUGGGAAACAAUUUAGUCAAGAUGUAAACUUUAAAAACACACAUGAGAGUUUAUACAAGAGAGAAACCUUCCUGUGUUCUCUUUGACAACACCUUACUCCAAAGGCAAAGUUGAAGAGUCGCAUGAGAAUUCACCAGGUUGGAAACCCUUUUGUUGUGAUCUUUGGAAUAAACAAUUUACUUCUAAAGUAUCCUUGAACAAGCAUGUCAGAUCGCACAUCAGUUAACCAUAUUGUCGUGAUGUUUGUGGACAAAUAUUUAAUGAGAAGACUGUGUCAUACCACAUUUGAGCA
Long non-coding RNA from Poecilia latipinna (sailfin molly), 2491 nucleotides. RefSeq lists it as uncharacterized. Lineage: Eukaryota; Metazoa; Chordata; Actinopteri; Cyprinodontiformes; Poeciliidae. The transcript has 3 exons. The record is from RefSeq and is a predicted model, not a curated record.